UGGGGAAUCUUAGACAAUGGGGGAAACCCUGAUCUAGCCAUGCCGCGUGAGCGAUGAAGGCCUUAGGGUUGUAAAGCUCUUUCAGCUGGGAAGAUAAUGACGGUACCAGCAGAAGAAGCCCCGGCUAACUCCGUGCCAGCAGCCGCGGUAAUACGGAGGGGGCUAGCGUUGUUCGGAAUUACUGGGCGUAAAGCGCACGUAGGCGGAUUAGUCAGUCAGAGGUGAAAUCCCAGGGCUCAACCCUGGAACUGCCUUUGAUACUGCUAGUCUUGAGGUCGAGAGAGGUGAGUGGAAUUCCGAGUGUAGAGGUGAAAUUCGUAGAUAUUCGGAGGAACACCAGUGGCGAAGGCGGCUCACUGGCUCGAUACUGACGCUGAGGUGCGAAAGCGUGGGGAGCAAAACAGGAUUUAGAUACCCCUGGUAGUCCACGCCGUAAACGAUGAAUGCCAGUCGUCGGGUUGCAUGCAAUUCGGUGACACACCCUAACGGAUUUAAGCAUUCCGCCUGGGGAGUACGGUCGCAAGAUUAAAACUCAAAUGAAUUGACGGGGUCAUAGCUG
Molecule: ribosomal RNA, 559 nt
Filed under: uncultured bacterium
Lineage: Bacteria
Description: partial 16S ribosomal RNA
Rfam family: Bacterial small subunit ribosomal RNA
Source: RNAcentral